AACUUCAGUAAGAAAGAGCUCUGACUGAAGUUGAGAUUUUCUCUCACUAGAAUUGGUGCUCUCAUCUAUCUCUAGACUUCUCUCUCUCUCUCUCUUCAUUCCCCUAAAUCUUGUGGUGUUUUCACUUCCAAUAUCCCAUAUGAUCUCAAAUACAUCCAUUCUACCGAAUAAAAUCAUUCCUAAUCUUUUACAAAAUCGGUGACUGAUUGGAAGGAGGUCACGCCAUAAAGGGAUCGGGGUCUCCCCUCUCCCUCCACUGUCUGACUUAAGGUGAGAGGGUGAAAAGAUCAAAAGAAAUUCAGUCAACACCUCCCCAAAAUUCGAGGAUAAUCAAGAGUGAAUCCAAACCAUCGUCGAUAUAAAAUUGUCAAUUGCAAAUACGUCGGGAAAUAGAGCGGCGGAUUCAGAGCAUAAGGGUUCUGGUUCUCCCCUUCUUUGACUCUCCGAUUAAAAGGGAGUGGUCGCCGUCAACCAAGGCAACUAGAAAACUAAGGAACAAACCAGGAAAUCCGGCGACCUUUCGUGUCUUUCGUCGUCUCUCUGGCGAAUACGAAAAGUUCAACCGGUGCAAAGGAAACUAGGGCAACUGUUUCGGGGAAGCCGAGGAGUCGCGCGUGCCGCCAACGGCUUUCCUUGGUAACAUCAAUUAAGCGUCGAUUUUUACACGUGGCGUGGGUAUUGGUUGACUUCUUUAAAUUGCUUCAGUUUCCCUUCUUAUUUUAAAUAAUCCUGCUACAAUCUGUGAUUAAUUUUGCCAUUGCAUGCAUGAAGGACUAAUUAAUCAUAUUAAUUAUGUUAGCUGAUUGCUAUUCCCAAUCGUGUCUCCCACCCCAUUAAUUUUAGUGUGUGAAUCUGUAGGCGGUUAACUCUAUCUUUUCUAUUUAUAUAUAUAUAUAUAUAUAUAUAUAUAUAUAUAUAUAUA
Salvia miltiorrhiza (redroot sage) is the source of this 922-nucleotide long non-coding RNA. RefSeq lists it as uncharacterized. The transcript has 2 exons. Lineage: Eukaryota; Viridiplantae; Streptophyta; Magnoliopsida; Lamiales; Lamiaceae. The record is from RefSeq and is a predicted model, not a curated record.